CAGCCUGGUAAUCCCUAGCAAGGAGCCAGUAGUUAGCCUUGAAGCCAAAAUCGUGAGACUAGGUUUAAGUGUAGGCAAACAAGAAUUCGAGCCGUAAUGCGAAAGCGUGAAGUUAUUGAGCCUCGUAAAUUAUAAAUAAGUAGAUGCUGAUAGUGUCACCUACCUAGCAAGCAAUAUCGGUAAUAUCGAUAAGCGAGAUAUUAUGAGAAAUCUACGGGGUCUU
This 223-nucleotide non-coding RNA is filed under the name human gut metagenome. The record is from RNAcentral.